CCUACGGGGGGCAGCAGUGGGGAAUAUUGGACAAUGGGGGCAACCCUGAUCCAGCCAUGCCGCGUGUGUGAAGAAGGCCCUCGGGUUGUAAAGCACUUUCAGUGAGGAAGAACGCCUGGUGGUUAAUACCCAUCAGGAAAGACAUCACUCGCAGAAGAAGCACCGGCUAACUCCGUGCCAGCAGCCGCGGUAAUACGGAGGGUGCGAGCGUUAAUCGGAAUUACUGGGCGUAAAGCGCGCGUAGGUGGCUUGAUAAGCCGGUUGUGAAAGCCCCGGGCUCAACCUGGGAACGGCAUCCGGAACUGUCAAGCUAGAGUGCAGGAGAGGAAGGUAGAAUUCCCGGUGUAGCGGUGAAAUGCGUAGAGAUCGGGAGGAAUACCAGUGGCGAAGGCGGCCUUCUGGACUGACACUGACACUGAGGUGCGAAAGCGUGGGUAGCAAACAGGAUUAGAUACCCUGGUAGUC
Molecule: ribosomal RNA, 465 nt
Filed under: Vreelandella stevensii
Lineage: Bacteria; Pseudomonadati; Pseudomonadota; Gammaproteobacteria; Oceanospirillales; Halomonadaceae
Description: partial 16S ribosomal RNA
Rfam family: Bacterial small subunit ribosomal RNA
Source: RNAcentral